Molecule: ribosomal RNA, 460 nt
Filed under: uncultured bacterium
Lineage: Bacteria
Description: partial 16S ribosomal RNA
Rfam family: Bacterial small subunit ribosomal RNA
Source: RNAcentral
CCUACGGGUGGCAGCAGUGAGGAAUAUUGGUCAAUGGACGAGAGUCUGAACCAGCCAAGUCGCGUGAAGGAUGACUGCCCUCUGGGUUGUAAACUUCUUUUAUAUGGGAAUAAAAUGUUCCACGUGUGGGAUUUUGUAUGUACCAUAUGAAUAAGGAUCGGCUAACUCCGUGCCAGCAGCCGCGGUAAUACGGAGGAUCCGAGCGUUAUCCGGAUUUAUUGGGUUUAAAGGGAGCGUAGGUGGGUUGUUAAGUCAGUUGUGAAAGUUUGCGGCUCAACAGUAAAAUGGCAGUUGAAACUGGCAGUCUUGAGGACAGUAGAGGUGGGCGGAAGUCGUGGUGUAGCGGUGAAAUGCUUAGAUAUCACGAAGAACUCCGAUUGCGAAGGCAGUUCACUGGACUGCAACUGACACUGAGGCUCGAAAGUGUGGGUAUCAAACAGGAUUAGAUACCCCAGUAGUC